Molecule: unclassified non-coding RNA, 338 nt
Filed under: soil metagenome
Description: partial contains 5.8S ribosomal RNA, internal transcribed spacer 2, and large subunit ribosomal RNA
Rfam family: 5.8S ribosomal RNA (bases 1-120)
Source: RNAcentral
GAUGAAGAACGUAGCGAAAUGCGAUAAGUAGUGUGAAUUGCAGAAUUCAGUGAAUCAUCGAAUCUUUGAACGCACAUUGCGCCCCUUGGUAUUCCAUGGGGCAUGCCUGUUCGAGCGUCAUUUGUACCCUCAAGCUAUGCUUGGUGUUGGGCUUCGUCCCCCCGUGGACGUGCCCGAAAGGCAGUGGCGGCGUCCCGAAUGGUGCCCGAGCGUAUGGGAACUCUCUUCCGCUCGAACCGGCCCAUUCGGCGCUGGUCGAACCCCAAUUUUUUUUUACCGGUUGACCUCGGAUCAGGUAGGGAUACCCGCUGAACUUAAGCAUAUCAAUAAGCGGAGGA